RNAcentral lists this ribosomal RNA (586 nucleotides) under uncultured bacterium. RNAcentral's name for it is "bacterial SSU rRNA". It matches the Rfam family "Bacterial small subunit ribosomal RNA", at positions 338 to 916 of the family's 1533-position model. The record is from RNAcentral.
CCUACGGGAGGCAGCAGUGGGGAAUUUUGGACAAUGGGGGAAACCCUGAUCCAGCAAUGCCGCGUGUGCGAAGAAGGCCUUCGGGUUGUAAAGCACUUUUAUUCGGAGAGAAAUCCCUUGGGCUAAUACCCUGAGGGUCUGACGGUACCGGAUGAAUAAGCGCCGGCUAACUACGUGCCAGCAGCCGCGGUAAUACGUAGGGCGCGAGCGUUAAUCGGAAUUACUGGGCGUAAAGCGUGCGCAGGCGGUUUUUGUAAGACAGAUGUGAAAGCCCCGGGCUCAACCUGGGAAUUGCAUUUGUGACUGCAAGGCUAGAGUGUGUCAGAGGGAGGUGGAAUUCCGCGUGUAGCAGUGAAAUGCGUAGAGAUGCGGAGGAACACCGAUGGCGAAGGCAGCCUCCUGGGAUAACACUGACGCUCAUGCACGAAAGCGUGGGGAGCAAACAGGAUUAGAUACCCUGGUAGUCCACGCCCUAAACGAUGUCAACUAGUUGUCGGGAAUUAAAUUUCUUGGUAACGCAGCUAACGCGUGAAGUUGACCGCCUGGGGAGUACGGCCGCAAGGUUAAAACUUAAAGGAAUUGACGG